AGAGUUUGAUCAUGGCUCAGGACGAACGCUGGCGGCGUGCCUAAUACAUGCAAGUCGAGCGAAUCAUUGGGAGCUUGCUCCCUUUGGUUAGCGGCGGACGGGUGAGUAACACGUGGGUAACCUGCCUGUAAGAUUGGGAUAACUCCGGGAAACCGGAGCUAAUACCGGAUAAUAUUUUGAACCGCAUGGUUCAAAAUUGAAAGGUGGCUUUUGCUACCACUUACAGAUGGACCCGCGGCGCAUUAGCUAGUUGGUGAGGUAACGGCUCACCAAGGCAACGAUGCGUAGCCGACCUGAGAGGGUGAUCGGCCACACUGGGACUGAGACACGGCCCAGACUCCUACGGGAGGCAGCAGUAGGGAAUCUUCCGCAAUGGACGAAAGUCUGACGGAGCAACGCCGCGUGAACGAUGAAGGCCUUCGGGUCGUAAAGUUCUGUUGUUAGGGAAGAACAAGUACCAGAGUAACUGCUGGUACCUUGACGGUACCUAACCAGAAAGCCACGGCUAACUACGUGCCAGCAGCCGCGGUAAUACGUAGGUGGCAAGCGUUGUCCGGAAUUAUUGGGCGUAAAGCGCGCGCAGGUGGUUUCUUAAGUCUGAUGUGAAAGCCCACGGCUCAACCGUGGAGGGUCAUUGGAAACUGGGGAACUUGAGUGCA
Molecule: ribosomal RNA, 659 nt
Filed under: uncultured Bacillus sp.
Lineage: Bacteria; Bacillati; Bacillota; Bacilli; Caryophanales; Bacillaceae
Description: bacterial SSU rRNA
Rfam family: Bacterial small subunit ribosomal RNA
Source: RNAcentral